GUCUCUGUGGCGCAAUUGGUUAGCGCGUUCGGCUGUUAACCGAAAGGUUGCUGGUUCAAGCCCACCCAGGGACG
Ciona savignyi (Pacific transparent sea squirt) is the source of this 74-nucleotide non-coding RNA. NCBI's taxonomy places the organism in Eukaryota, Metazoa, Chordata, Ascidiacea, Phlebobranchia, Cionidae. The record is from Rfam.